RNAcentral lists this long non-coding RNA (508 nucleotides) under Phasianus colchicus (ring-necked pheasant). RNAcentral's name for it is "lncRNA (ENSPCLG00000005657.1)". The record is from RNAcentral. Lineage: Eukaryota; Metazoa; Chordata; Aves; Galliformes; Phasianidae.
GGUACUCCUUUGGUAAUGUUGCUGUGGUAAAGGGCUGAACAGAAUGGACCACAUACUCACAUAAAUUAAGCCUGGUGAUCCUACGCCCCUGCCUGAAAUGACGCUGGUGCUUGUAGGAGGUGUUUUUCUCUGGGCUGUGAGACUAGUGAGAUGCUGAAGCUGAGCACGGAACAGAUUCGCAGCUGAUUGCCCUGAUUGGAGCCUGGGAGGUGCUGUGCCCAAGUCAAGCAUCCAAAGGGUGCCAACUGCAUUGCUGCCAAGGUUGGGAAAAGCGUGGCCGUGUUUGGGGCUCCCUGUGGCCUCCUCACUGGGACAGCCUUUCACCAUUGACACGUGUCUCAGAGUGCCAAGGUCACAGACAAAAGGUGUCUCCAAUGAAGAUUUGACUGUGCGACUGAGCACGCUGCUCAUGAAAAGAGAUCUGAAUGAAACAGAAUUUGAUUUCAAAAACUGCAUCCUUCCCACUGAAAUGAAGAAAGGUAGAAUUCUCUGCAAAGUGCAAUAUUGA